GGGACAGUAGGCUGGUCGUGCCACCGGUACGUACUGGUCUCACUGAUUCCUCCUUCCUGAAGAACCGUAAUGCCAUUAAUUUGGUGUUGCCGGGAAACAGGACUGUUACUUUGAAAAAAUUAUAGUGUUUAAAGCAAGCUAACGCUUGAAUACAUUAGCAUGGAAUAAUGAAAUAGGACGAUCGAUCCUAUUUUGUUUGUUUCUAGGAUUGACGUA
RNAcentral lists this ribosomal RNA (216 nucleotides) under Glomeromycotina sp. Its description in RNAcentral is "partial small subunit ribosomal RNA". The stretch from base 40 to 216 matches the Rfam family "Eukaryotic small subunit ribosomal RNA", at positions 686 to 864 of the family's 1831-position model. The record is from RNAcentral. Lineage: Eukaryota; Fungi; Glomeromycota.